GAUGAACGCUGGCGGCGUGCCUAAUACAUGCAAGUCGAGCGAACAGACGAGGAGCUUGCUCCUUUGACGUUAGCGGCGGACGGGUGAGUAACACGUGGAUAACCUACCUAUAAGACUGGGAUAACUUCGGGAAACCGGAGCUAAUACCGGAUAACAUGUUGAACCGCAUGGUUCAACAGUGAAAGACGGUCUUGCUGUCACCUAUAGAUGGAUCCGCGCCGCAUUAGCUAGUUGGUAAGGUAACGGCUUACCAAGGCAACGAUGCGUAGCCGACCUGAGAGGGUGAUCGGCCACACUGGAACUGAGACACGGUCCAGACUCCUACGGGAGGCAGCAGUAGGGAAUCUUCCGCAAUGGGCGAAAGCCUGACGGAGCAACGCCGCGUGAGUGAAGAAGGUCUUCGGAUCGUAAAACUCUGUUAUUAGGGAAGAACAAAUGUGUAAGUAACUAUGCACGUCUUGACGGUACCUAAUCAGAAAGCCACGGCUAACUACGUG
RNAcentral lists this ribosomal RNA (497 nucleotides) under uncultured bacterium. RNAcentral's name for it is "partial 16S ribosomal RNA". It matches the Rfam family "Bacterial small subunit ribosomal RNA", at positions 28 to 507 of the family's 1533-position model. The record is from RNAcentral.